AUUGAACGCUGGCGGCGUGCCUAACACAUGCAAGUCGAGCGGCAGCGCGGGAGCAAUCCUGGCGGCGAGCGGCGAACGGGUGAGUAAUGCUUCGGAAUCUGCCCAUGUAGUGGGGAAUAACCAGCCGAAAGGUUGGCUAAUACCGCAUACGACCUACGGGUGAAAGCAGGGGAUCGCAAGACCUUGCGCUAUUGGAUGAGCCGAAGUCGGAUAGCUAGUUGGUAGGGUAACGGCCUACCAAGGCGACGAUCCGUAGCUGGUCUGAGAGGACGACCAGCCACACUGGGACUGAGACACGGCCCAGACUCCUACGGGAGGCAGCAGUGGGGAAUAUUGGACAAGUGGGGGCAACCCUGAUCCAGCGACGCCGCGUGUGUGAAGAAGGCC
This 387-nucleotide ribosomal RNA is filed under the name uncultured bacterium. RNAcentral's name for it is "bacterial SSU rRNA". It matches the Rfam family "Bacterial small subunit ribosomal RNA", at positions 29 to 416 of the family's 1533-position model. The record is from RNAcentral.